UUCAGUAUAGUUUUACACAGUUUCGAUCUCAGUAGUUCGUUUCUGAUCGAACAGUCAAAAACGAUUAUUAUGUUAACACACUAACGGCGUAUAUUCCAUUUCCAUCGUAGAUUGCAUACAAUAUCCACACAAUAUUAUUAUUAAUAACAUUUACAUGCCCACACCUAACAAGUAAGUCAUAUAGUACUACAUAAAUUCUGUAACAACAAAACACUAGUUUCACACUAGAAUUUAG
RNAcentral lists this long non-coding RNA (235 nucleotides) under Trifolium pratense (red clover). RNAcentral's name for it is "long non-coding RNA (TPRA_LNC009372)". Lineage: Eukaryota; Viridiplantae; Streptophyta; Magnoliopsida; Fabales; Fabaceae. The record is from RNAcentral.